UAAAAUGUAAAAUUAAUUUAUUAAAUUAUUAUAAGUUAUAAUCUUUAAAGUUAAAAAAUUUGGCGGUAUUUUAGUCUUUUCAGAGGAACCUGUCCUAUAAUUGAUAAUCCACGAUUAGAGUUACUUAAUUUAAUAAUUUGUAUAUCAUUGUAAUUGAAUAUUUUAGUAGAGUAAUUAAUAUUCAAAAUUUUUAAUUUAAAAUAUAAAUCAAAUCAAGGUGCAGUUUAUAGUUAAGAAGAGAUGGGUUACAUUAAGGUUACUUAUGGAUUUAAAAUUUAAAUAUUUUAUUUAAAAUGGAUUUGAAAGUAAUUUAAUUUAUUUUAAUUAAAUGAUUUAAGCUCUAAAAUAUGC
RNAcentral lists this ribosomal RNA (351 nucleotides) under Diaulota pacifica. Its description in RNAcentral is "partial 12S ribosomal RNA". Lineage: Eukaryota; Metazoa; Arthropoda; Insecta; Coleoptera; Staphylinidae. The record is from RNAcentral.